RNAcentral lists this ribosomal RNA (929 nucleotides) under Microhyla heymonsi (Taiwan rice frog). Its description in RNAcentral is "partial 12S ribosomal RNA". The stretch from base 1 to 799 matches the Rfam family "Bacterial small subunit ribosomal RNA". The record is from RNAcentral. Lineage: Eukaryota; Metazoa; Chordata; Amphibia; Anura; Microhylidae.
UCAACUUUUUCUUGACUUACACAUGCAAGUAUCAGCACACCCGUGAGAACGCCCUUUUACCCUUUAUAGGACAAGGAGCUGGUAUCAGGCUCAGUUUUCUAGCCCACAACACCUAGUUUUGCCACACCCUCAAGGGUAUUCAGCAGUGAUUAACAUUGUUUAUAAGCGCCAGCUUGACUCAGUCAAAGAACCUAGAGCCGGCCAAUACGGUGCCAGCCGCCGCGGCUACACCGCUAGGCUCAAGUUGAUAUUAAUCGGCGUUAAGCGUGUUUAAAGUGCAUAAAAAGAUUAGAAUUAAACUUAAACCAAGCUGUGACACGCUUGUUUUUAAGAAAAACAAAAACGAAAGUUAUUCUAACCAAACCACUUGAACCCACGACAGCUAAGACACAAACUGGGAUUAGGUACCCCACUAUGCCUAGCCGUAAAAUAUUUAUUUACUCCUUUAACCGCCCGGGGAUUACGAGCCCAAGCUUAAAACCCAAAGGACUUGACGGUGCCCCACCCACCUAGAGGAGCCUGUUCUAUAAUCGAUUCUCCCCGAUAUACCUCACCACUUCUAGCCUAUCAGCCUGUAUACCUCCGUCGUAAGCUUACCAUAUGAACGCUUUUUAGUGAGCUAAAAGAUGAUUUAGAAGUAAAAAGAAAAUAGAGUGUUCUUUUUAAUUAGGCGCUGGGACGCGUACACACCGCCCGUCACCCUCUUCAAACGCUUUAUUAAGUUUAUAACAAUAUGUUGCAACACAGAAGAGGUAAGUGGUAACACGGUAAGCGUACUGGAAAGUGCGCUUGGAUAAACAAAAUGUAGAUUAAUCAAAGCAUGUCGCUUACACCGAGAACAUAUCUGUGAUACCAGAUCAUUUUGAGCUAAAAACUUGGCUUUACUUGUCUAAAAUGUUCACCCAUACCUUUUACACACAAAAUAAAAC